AUGGUCCUAAUGCAUGACAAACACAGGUGUCGCUCAACGCUAAAUAUGGGUCUGCUCCAUGAUUGUGUCAGGGCUGGGGUAUUCAUUGGGUACCUACUCACCCAAUGUUAAUGGUCCGUGCAAACUGCUGCUGUGGCACCCUGCUAUGACAACUCUGAUGAGGGUCCACGGUCAAUGAUUGUUAUCUUAUAUAGUUUGUAUGGCCUGCUACCCCUGCCCUGCUCCAUACAAAGCAGCAGCCCCAUCAUUAGUGUUAUGAGCGACACCUGUGUUAGUCCUAUGGUUAGAGCUCUGUGAAAGGGGUCCAAAAUGCAAUUAUAGACAUGGAUAUAAUUGUCUAUAAUAAUCUAUGAUUCAGAAAUGUGCUUGUGUUUCAGAAUUUGGGAUUUAAAGAUGUACCAACCUGCUGUGCAGUCUCAUUGUUGGAUAUCAUGGCUGGAUACUUGGAAGUGGGAAUGCAUCAGAUUCUAACUCUUCCUCAGACCGCUAUUAAAACAAAGGAGAAUAAUUAUCAGCCGACCAUCUAGCAUUGACCAUACAUAAUCAAGAAGCCUCCUGCGAUUUUAAUGUUAUGCAUUGCAUUCAUUUUUAACCAUCUACAUUACUCAAUGACACACCCUGCAAUAUGUAAAAUACAAAUGUACAACAAAAUUAAAUAAAAUUUAGAUGAUGGACCAUAGCCAUACUUGCAUUCUAUCCUACUCAGAUUACUUGAUAUUAUGCCUAUUAUUUCUACUCUAAUUCAACCUUUCACAAAUGAAUGCUAUAAAAUGAUUGUGACAAGGCAGGGGUCGACUAUGUGAUACAAAUAGAAAAUACUGUGUGUAUGUUCAGGUACCGUGAAGUCAAACGUGGAGAUUGUUGCAUGCACUGUGUAACAGUAGGGUGAAUCUGGCAAAUAAUUGACAGUUCUGGGAUAUUGUAUUAUGUUUGUAUUAUGUCUGAGAUGUAUAUGCUAGCCAACCUGGCAACAACGUCAUAUUGCUUUGUGUCACAUAUUGAGGUUAG
Gadus macrocephalus (Pacific cod) is the source of this 1008-nucleotide long non-coding RNA. RefSeq lists it as uncharacterized. Lineage: Eukaryota; Metazoa; Chordata; Actinopteri; Gadiformes; Gadidae. The record is from RefSeq and is a predicted model, not a curated record. The transcript has 3 exons.